RNAcentral lists this long non-coding RNA (1058 nucleotides) under Medicago truncatula (barrel medic). Its description in RNAcentral is "lncRNA gene37985". Lineage: Eukaryota; Viridiplantae; Streptophyta; Magnoliopsida; Fabales; Fabaceae. The record is from RNAcentral.
AUGUUUGUAAUUACUAUUAUUUUUACAAUUUUAUCCUUUAAGAAAAAGGGUUGGCUUAUAUUUUCAACAUUCUAUUUAUUGCUGAUUGAAGAAAAAGAUGUAUAAUAAAUAGGGGAAUGUAUGUAAAGAAAUAAUUAAUAUAGUUCGAAAUAGAAAAGGGGUCUUAUAAAAAGGGACAAAAACAUUCUCAAAAGAAUCUUAUAAUUAAGGACGGAGGUAACAUUUAUUUACAUUUUCCUUAAGAAAAUAUCAUUGCUUUUUUAACCUUUCAUGAUAGUAAAGCGAAAAUAUGUUAUUUGAACCAUGGUAAAGUUAUCAAUAAAUUAGAAUUUAUUCUAAUAUCAAUUUAUUUAUUUUAUUUAAUCAUUAGAUCAUAAAGAAUGUGAAACAUUUGCUAAACAUGUGUGUCUGAAUACGAAAAUACUAUUAUAUACAUGAGAUUUCACAAUUAAGAGAAUUAAUUAUGAAAGGAAUAUGCCAUGCUAGGAGGCCAAGUGAAUAACUUUGGUAAUUUUCGGAUUUUACUUGUUUCUGACCCAUUCUCUUUAAAACAGCCAUAAGUUGGGAUGUCCUUUACCGAUCGGAGCUCGUGAACAUUCGUUGGAAAGCUAACAAGCAUACCUAGAGCCUAGGUUUAGGGGUUUAGGGUUUAGGGAAAUGGCAAAGGCAAAGAUGUUGCCAAGCCAUCAACCAAAGCUUUGAAGCCUACUGGAGGCGUGGCUAAGGAUGGUAAGUGCUUCUAUUGCAACAACACUGGGCAUUGGAAGCGAAACUGUCCAAAGUAUCUGGAAGAUAAGAAGAAUGGAAAUGUUCCUACUACUUCUGCAGGGUCUGAGAAAGAGUAGAGCAUUGGCAAAAGGCGAGGUCAAUCUUAGAGUUGGCAAUGGAGCAAAGGUUGCUGAUUUAGCUGUUGGAACUUAUGUAUUGACCUUACCUAGUGGUCUUUUACUUAAUUUAGAAAACUGCUAUUAUGUACCUGCCAUUAGCAGGAAUAUUAUUUCAAUUUCUUGUUUGGACAAGGCUGGUUUUUAUUUUACAAUAAAGAACAAAUGUUGUUC